AGGCCACCAUACCAUUUACAUCGGAGUCCAUGUGCCGAAGAGUUACAGGAGAAGGAGACGUCACAAGAGAAAGACAGGGCACAAAGAAAAGAAGGAAAAGGAGAGAAUCUCUGAGAACUACUCUGACAAAUCAGAUAUUGAAAACGCUGAUGAAUCCAGCAGCAGCAUCCUAAAACCUCUCAUCUCUCCUGCUGCAGAACGCAUCCGAUUCAUCUUGGGAGAGGAGGAUGACAGCCCAGCUCCCCCUCAGCUCUUCACGGAACUGGAUGAGCUGCUGGCCGUGGAUGGGCAGGAGAUGGAGUGGAAGGAAACAGCCAGGUGGAUCAAGUUUGAAGAAAAAGUGGAACAGGGUGGGGAAAGAUGGAGCAAGCCCCAUGUGGCCACAUUGUCCCUUCAUAGUUUAUUUGAGCUGAGGACAUGUAUGGAGAAAGGAUCCAUCAUGCUUGAUCGGGAGGCUUCUUCUCUCCCACAGUUGGUGGAGAUGAUUGUUGAGCAUCAGAUUGAGACAGGCCUAUUGAAACCUGAACUUAAGGAUAAGGUGACCUACACUUUGCUCCGGAAGCACCGGCAUCAAACCAAGAAAUCCAACCUUCGGUCCCUGGCUGACAUUGGGAAGACAGUCUCCAGUGCAAGUAGGAUGUUUACCAACCCUGAUAAUGGUAGCCCAGCCAUGACCCAUAGGAAUCUGACUUCCUCCAGUCUGAAUGACAUUUCUGAUAAACCGGAGAAGGACCAGCUGAAGAAUAAGUUCAUGAAAAAAUUGCCACGUGAUGCAGAAGCUUCCAACGUGCUUGUUGGGGAGGUUGACUUUUUGGAUACUCCUUUCAUUGCCUUUGUUAGGCUACAGCAGGCUGUCAUGCUGGGUGCCCUGACUGAAGUUCCUGUGCCCACAAGGUUCUUGUUCAUUCUCUUAGGUCCUAAGGGGAAAGCCAAGUCCUACCAUGAGAUUGGCAGAGCCAUUGCCACCCUGAUGUCUGAUGAGGUGUUCCAUGACAUUGCUUAUAAAGCAAAAGACAGGCACGACCUGAUUGCUGGUAUUGAUGAGUUCCUAGAUGAAGUCAUUGUCCUUCCACCUGGGGAAUGGGAUCCAGCAAUUAGGAUAGAGCCUCCUAAGAGUCUUCCAUCCUCUGACAAAAGAAAGAAUAUGUACUCAGGUGGAGAGAAUGUUCAGAUGAAUGGGGAUACGCCCCAUGAUGGAGGUCACGGAGGAGGAGGACAUGGGGAUUGUGAAGAAUUGCAGCGAACUGGACGGUUCUGUGGUGGACUAAUUAAAGACAUAAAGAGGAAAGUGCCAUUUUUUGCCAGUGAUUUUUAUGAUGCUUUAAAUAUUCAAGCUCUUUCGGCAAUUCUCUUCAUUUAUCUGGCAACUGUAACUAAUGCUAUCACUUUUGGAGGACUGCUUGGGGAUGCCACUGACAACAUGCAGGGCGUGUUGGAGAGUUUCCUGGGCACUGCUGUCUCUGGAGCCAUCUUUUGCCUUUUUGCUGGUCAACCACUCACUAUUCUGAGCAGCACCGGACCUGUCCUAGUUUUUGAGAGGCUUCUAUUUAAUUUCAGCAAGGACAAUAAUUUUGACUAUUUGGAGUUUCGCCUUUGGAUUGGCCUGUGGUCCGCCUUCCUAUGUCUCAUUUUGGUAGCCACUGAUGCCAGCUUCUUGGUUCAAUACUUCACACGUUUCACGGAGGAGGGCUUUUCUUCUCUGAUUAGCUUCAUCUUUAUCUAUGAUGCUUUCAAGAAGAUGAUCAAGCUUGCAGAUUACUACCCCAUCAACUCCAACUUCAAAGUGGGCUACAACACUCUCUUUUCCUGUGCCUGUGUGCCACCUGACCCAGGUGAGGGCAUCACACUUAGUGUUUAUGCUCGCUUUGUAUUUGGAGGAAGGUAUAGGCUCCAUGCUUGCAAAUUUUCAACAUGCUGUCAUGGUCCUCAGGAAUUAGUCUUGUUUUUUUCUCUGAAAAACUCUGCUACUGAAUUUGAUGUCUCAUUGCCUGAGGUAUUUUAGCUGUAUGAUUCAACCAGGAAGGAGACCAGGAGCUCUGGAAUGUGAACAUAACCAACUCAAUAUUUUGAAAUUAACUCAAACUGUGGGAUUUGCAAGGAGUUCAUGUGUACAUUAUUCUUGAUUUUAUAAGUGGGGAAACCUGGAUACAUGUAUUAACAGAUGUAAAU
Molecule: small RNA, 2169 nt
Filed under: Pongo abelii (Sumatran orangutan)
Lineage: Eukaryota; Metazoa; Chordata; Mammalia; Primates; Hominidae
Description: processed transcript
Source: RNAcentral